UUUAAGCGCAAUCAUGGAUUUCCAUGUCCAACUUUGAUUAUCCGUCGUAUUAUUUUUUUUAUGAUUAGUAUUUUUAUUGUUAUUAGAUGAUAAAACAUAAAUAGUAUUUAUGUUUUUUUUAUUUUUUUAAAUAAGACACUAUUAAAGUUGGAAACGAAAACUCAUGACUACGCUUAAA
This is a non-coding RNA of Oryza glumipatula, 178 nucleotides long. NCBI's taxonomy places the organism in Eukaryota, Viridiplantae, Streptophyta, Magnoliopsida, Poales, Poaceae. The record is from Rfam.